AUGGAAUUGGUGGUGUAGGGGUAAAAUCCGUAGAUAUCACCAAGAAUACCCAUUGCGAAGGCGAUCUGCUGGAACUCAACUGACGCUAAGGCGCGAAAGCGUGGGGAGCAAACAGGAUUAGAUACCCUGGUAGUCCACGCCCUAAACGAUGUACACUAGUUGUUGGGGUGCUAGUCAUCUCAGUAAUGCAGCUAACGCAUUAAGUGUACCGCCUGGGGAGUACGGUCGCAAGAUUAAAACUCAAAGGAAUAGACGGGGACCCGCACAAGCGGUGGAGCAUGUGGUUUAAUUCGAAGAUACGCGAAGAACCUUACCUGGGCUUGAUAUCCUAAGAACCUUUUAGAGAUAAGAGGGUGCUAGCUUGCUAGAACUUAGAGACAGGUGCUGCACGGCUGUCGUCAGCUCGUGUCGUGAGAUGUUGGGUUAAGUCCCGCAACGAGCGCAACCCACGUAUUUAGUUGCUAACGGUUCGGCCGAGCACUCUAAAUAGACUGCCUUCGUAAGGAGGAGGAAGGUGUGGACGACGUCAAGUCAUCAUGGCCCUUAUGCCCAGGGCGACACACGUGCUACAAUGGCAUAUACAAUGAGACGCAAUACCGCGAGGUGGAGCAAAUCUAUAAAAUAUGUCCCAGUUCGGAUUGUUCUCUGCAACUCGAGAGCAUGAAGCCGGAAUCGCUAGUAAUCGUAGAUCAGCCAUGCUACGGUGAAUACGUUCCCGGGUCUUGUACUCACCGCCCGUCACACCAUGGGAGUUGAUUUCACUCGAAGCCGGAAUACUAAACUAGUUACCGUCCACAGUGGAAUCAGCGACUGGGGUGAAGUCGUAACAAGGUAACCGUAGGAGAACCUGCGGUUGGAUC
Molecule: ribosomal RNA, 860 nt
Filed under: Campylobacter jejuni
Lineage: Bacteria; Pseudomonadati; Campylobacterota; Epsilonproteobacteria; Campylobacterales; Campylobacteraceae
Description: bacterial SSU rRNA
Rfam family: Bacterial small subunit ribosomal RNA
Source: RNAcentral